UGUAACGCCUGGACGGUCCACCACACUUUAGCGAUUAACCUUGUUGAGUACAGUUAGUGUGGGUUCAGUGAAAUUAUGAUGAAUAUCAGGAUGAUAUUUUUCUUUAUUACUGUGCUUUCUACAAGUAGGUACACUCUAAUAAUCUGACAUACUCAUUACAGAGUAUGGGAUUGAUUGAAGCUCAAUUUUAAAUUCAAAUCUCCCUACCAUCAUAUCUAAGAUAGUAUGACAACCGGGGCGUGUAUUCAUUGAUGCCAAUGGUAGCUAGAAUUCUUUUUUUUAUGUAAAACGUUUUUAGUUUUUAUUAACCUUUAUUUAAACAGGUGAACAAGCUGAGACAGUCUCUUUUACAGUUGUGCCCUAUGAUACAAAAAAAAACACAGUAAUCAAUAAGAAUUUAAAACCAAACAAAAUAAUAUAAAAAGUACAAGAUGGGGAUUAAAGCUAUUAAAAUAAAUAAACUUCUAUAAGAAAAACACACAUUACAAAUAGCAAUCACAGUUUAUAAUAAAAAGUUCAUGUAAUGUGCAUCUAAACUGUUUCACAGGCACCAAAACAUCUAACUGGAGUUCUUUCGGCGAUUCAUUCCAUGACUGGUGGAGCAUGAUAUUCAAGAACCGUUUUGCCCAACUCAGAGUGAAUACGGGGUAUCUCUAGCACUAGCAUGUCAUGUGACUGCGAUUAUAACGGUGAUUCUGAUCCAACCAUUAAUUCAUACAUUGUUGUGUCCCUGGCCCGAUAGGAUGGAAGUUCAAUAUGUAGCUAGAUGUAGAAGGCUAACGUUAACUAGCUAACGUUGCCCAUGAAAGGAAGUUAGGCUAGCGGGCAAGCAUUUUAGCCAGGUAACCUAGGAAAACAAAAAAUAAAAGCGUGCCCUGUAUGACAUACUUAUAGACUUUUUUGUCAACAUGAAAGAAAGGAGGAUGGCAUUGGCGUUUCUCUACUAGUAGGAAUAAAGAGUGAAGACAUCAAAACUAUAAAAUAAUACGUAACCGCCGGACCCAACCCCCCACUGAACCGCCUUCGGCCCGCGGACUGACACCACCCGGACGCAGCCCCUUGCGCGACCACGCACGAGAGACCGCGAGAUGGGCCGCACAACGAACUUCCAACGGUUCCGAGAGGAGGGCGACGGAGCGACUGCUCCCCCAGCCGCGGCUCGAGCCCAGCCCAUGAAAAUGGACAAACUGAAGGGUGCGCAAUGUAAAUGCCCACUGAGUUGACAUUCUGAACCUUGUUUGAGUCCAGUAGGUCACAUGACCAAGGAGCUAUUGAAAUUAGAAAAUUAGAAACAUUUAUGUAAAAACGUGUGAGAUGAAAUUUUACUAACUAAAGGGUAUGCAAUGUGUAGGCCCACUCAGUGUACAUUCUGAACCUUGUUUGAAGUCAGUAGGUCACAUGACCAAGGAGCUGUUGAAAUUAGAAAGUUACAUUUUUAAAUGUAAAAAUGUGUGAGAUGAAAAUGGACAAACCAAAGGGUGUGCAAUGUGUAGGCCCACUCAGUGUACAUUCUGAACCUUGUUUGAGUCCAGUAGGUCACAUGACAAAGGAGCUAUUGAAAUUAGAACGUCAAAAAUGUUUAUGUAAAAACGUGUGAUGAAAAUGGACAAACCAAAGGGUGUGCAAUAUAGAAGGGUAGUCGGUGGACAUUCUGAACCUUGGUUGAAGUCAGUAGGUCACAUGACCAAGGAGUUAUUGAAAUUAGAAAGUUAGAAAAAUUACUGUAAAAUCGAGUGAGAUGGAAAUGGACAAACCAAAGGGUGUGCAAUAUAGAAGGGUAGUCAGUGGACAUUCUGAACCUUGGUUGAAGUCAGUUGGUCACAUCACCAAUGAGCUAUUGAAAUUCGAAUGUAAAAAAAGUUUGUACUUUGUUUACGCUCCCUAACUAAUUCAACUAGGAAUACAAAAUGCUGCUCACAUU
Oncorhynchus tshawytscha (Chinook salmon) is the source of this 1921-nucleotide long non-coding RNA. RefSeq lists it as uncharacterized. NCBI's taxonomy places the organism in Eukaryota, Metazoa, Chordata, Actinopteri, Salmoniformes, Salmonidae. The record is from RefSeq and is a predicted model, not a curated record. The transcript is spliced from 2 exons.